This 465-nucleotide ribosomal RNA is filed under the name uncultured bacterium. RNAcentral describes it as "partial 16S ribosomal RNA". It matches the Rfam family "Bacterial small subunit ribosomal RNA", at positions 28 to 507 of the family's 1533-position model. The record is from RNAcentral.
GACGAACGCUGGCGGCGUGCUUAACACAUGCAAGUCGAACGGAAAGGCCCUGCUUGCAGGGUACUCGAGUGGCGAACGGGUGAGUAACACGUGGGUGAUCUGCCCUGCACUUCGGGAUAAGCCUGGGAAACUGGGUCUAAUACCGGAUAGGAGCCAUUUUUAGUGUGAUGGUUGGAAAGUUUUUUCGGUGUAGGAUGAGCUCGCGGCCUAUCAGCUUGUUGGUGGGGUAAUGGCCUACCAAGGCGGCGACGGGUAGCCGGCCUGAGAGGGUGGACGGCCACAUUGGGACUGAGAUACGGCCCAGACUCCUACGGGAGGCAGCAGUGGGGAAUAUUGCACAAUGGGCGCAAGCCUGAUGCAGCGACGCCGCGUGGGGGAUGACGGCCUUCGGGUUGUAAACUCCUUUCGCUAGGGACGAAGCUUUUUGUGAAGGUACCUAGAUAAGAAGCACCGGCUAACUACGUG